This 288-nucleotide ribosomal RNA is filed under the name uncultured Synechococcus sp. Its description in RNAcentral is "partial 16S ribosomal RNA". It matches the Rfam family "Bacterial small subunit ribosomal RNA", at positions 1247 to 1533 of the family's 1533-position model. The record is from RNAcentral. Lineage: Bacteria; Bacillati; Cyanobacteriota; Cyanophyceae; Synechococcales; Synechococcaceae.
GGGAUAACGUGACGCGUCUACUGCUACACUGUGUGAAUAUAGCUUGAACCGUACUCUGCUGCUACGGUGAGUGAAAGAGGAAUAGCAUAGUAUUCCCAUGUCACCCUACUGCGGUGAGUACAUUCUGCAGGGCCUUGUACUCACCCGACGUCACACCAUGGAAGUUGGCCCUGCCCGACUCCGAUUACUCGACCCUUGUGGAAGACGACGUCUAACGUGGAGCUGAAGACUGGGGUGAAGUCGUAACAAGGUAGCCGUACCGGAAGGUGCGGCUGGAUCACCUCCUAA